GACGAACGCUGGCGGCGUGCUUAACACAUGCAAUUCGAACGGAAAGUCCCUGCUUUUGUGGGUUGCUCGAUUUUCGAUCUUGUUAGUAACACGUGAGUAACCUGCCCUUGACUUUGGUCUUUCUUCAGGACACUUUGGCUAUUACCGGAUAGUUGCUCCUGCUGCCUUGUUGUGGUUUGCAAGUUUCGGCGGUUGGGGAUGGACUCGCGGCUUAUCAGCUUGUUGGUGGGGUAGUGGCUUACCAAGUCUUUGACGGGUAGCCGGCCUGAGAGGGUGACCGGCCACAUUGGGACUGAGAUACGGCCCAGACUACUACGGGAGGAAGCAGUGGGGAAUAUUGCACAAUGGGCGGAAGCAUGAUGCAGCAACGCCGCGUGCGGGAUGACGGCCUUCGGGUUGUAAACCGCUUUCGCCUGUGACGAAGCGUGAGUGACGGUAAUGGGUAAAGAAGCACCGGCUAACUACGUG
RNAcentral lists this ribosomal RNA (468 nucleotides) under uncultured bacterium. Its description in RNAcentral is "partial 16S ribosomal RNA". It matches the Rfam family "Bacterial small subunit ribosomal RNA", at positions 28 to 507 of the family's 1533-position model. The record is from RNAcentral.